GACGAACGCUGGCGGCGUGCUUAACACAUGCAAGUCGAACGGAAAGGCCCUGCUUUUGUGGGGUGCUCGAGUGGCGAACGGGUGAGUAACACGUGAGUAACCUGCCCUUGACUUUGGGAUAACUUCAGGAAACUGGGGCUAAUACCGGACAGGAGCUCCUGCCGCAUGGUGGGGGUUGGAAAGUUUCGGCGGUUGGGGAUGGACUCGCGGCUUACCAGCUCGUUGGUGGGGUAGUGGCUUACCAAGGCUUUGACGGGUAGCCGGCCUGGGAGGGUGACCGGCCACAUUGGGACUAAGGUACGGCCCAGACUCCUACGGGAGGCAGCGGUGGGGAAUAUUGCACAAUGGGAGGAAGCCUGAUGCAGCAACGCCGCGUGCGGGAUGACGGCCUUCGGGUUGUAAACCGCUUUAGCCUGUGACGAAGCGUGAGUGACGGUAAUGAGUAAAGAAGCACCGGCUAACUACGUG
This 468-nucleotide ribosomal RNA is filed under the name uncultured bacterium. Its description in RNAcentral is "partial 16S ribosomal RNA". It matches the Rfam family "Bacterial small subunit ribosomal RNA", at positions 28 to 507 of the family's 1533-position model. The record is from RNAcentral.